This 478-nucleotide ribosomal RNA is filed under the name uncultured bacterium. Its description in RNAcentral is "partial 16S ribosomal RNA". It matches the Rfam family "Bacterial small subunit ribosomal RNA", at positions 28 to 523 of the family's 1533-position model. The record is from RNAcentral.
GACGAACGCUGGCGGCGUGCUUAACACAUGCAAGUCGAGCGAUGAAGUUCCUUCGGGAAUGGAUUAGCGGCGGACGGGUGAGUAACACGUGGGUAACCUGCCUCAUAGAGGGGAAUAGCCUUCCGAAAGGAAGAUUAAUGCCGCAUAAGAUUGCAGUUUCACAUGAAACAGCAAUUAAAGGAGUAAUCCGCUAUGAGAUGGACCCGCGUCGCAUUAGCUAGUUGGUAAGGUAACGGCUUACCAAGGCGACGAUGCGUAGCCGACCUGAGGGGGUGAUCGGCCACAUUGGGACUGAGACACGGCCCAGACUCCGACGGGAGGCAGCAGUGGGGAAUAUCGCACAAUGGGGGAAACCCUGAUGCAGCAACGCCGCGUGAGUGAUGAAGGUCUUCGGAUUGUAAAACUCUGUCUUCAGGGACGAUAAUGACGGUACCUGAGGAGGAAGCCACGGCUAACUACGUGCCAGCCGCCGCCGUAA